GACGAACGCUGGCGGCGUGCUUAACACAUGCAAGUCGAACGGAAAGGCCCUGCUUUUGUGGGGUGCUCGAGUGGCGAACGGGUGAGUAUCACGUGAGUAACCUGCCCUUGACUUUGUGAUAACUUCAGGAAACUGGGGCUAAUACCGGAUAUGAGCUCCUGCUGCAUGUUGGGGGUUGGAAAGUUUCGGCGGUUGGGGAUGGACUCGCGGCUUAUCAGCUUUUUGGUGGGGUAGUGGCUUACCAAGGCUUUGACGGGUAGCCGGCCUGAGAGGGUUACCGGCCACAUUGGGACUGAGAGACGGCCCAGAAUCCUAAGGGAGGCAGCAGGGGGGAAUAUUGCACAAUGGGCGGAAGCCUGAUGCAGCAACGCCGCGUGCGGGAUGACGGCCUUCGGGUUGUAAACCGAUUUCGACUGUGACGAAGAGUGAGUGACGGUAAUGGGUAAAGAAGCACCGGCUAACUACGUG
RNAcentral lists this ribosomal RNA (468 nucleotides) under uncultured bacterium. RNAcentral's name for it is "partial 16S ribosomal RNA". It matches the Rfam family "Bacterial small subunit ribosomal RNA", at positions 28 to 507 of the family's 1533-position model. The record is from RNAcentral.